Molecule: ribosomal RNA, 875 nt
Filed under: uncultured Candidatus Nitrosopumilus sp.
Lineage: Archaea; Thermoproteati; Nitrososphaerota; Nitrososphaeria; Nitrosopumilales; Nitrosopumilaceae
Description: bacterial SSU rRNA
Rfam family: Archaeal small subunit ribosomal RNA
Source: RNAcentral
CCUGACUGCUAUCGGAUUGAUACUAAGCCAUGUGAGUCAUUGUAGCAAUACAAGGCAGACGGCUCAGUAACACGUAGCCAACCUACCCUAUGGACGGGGAUAACCUCGGGAAACUGAGGAUAAACCCCGAUAGAUCAUAAUGCCUGGAACGGUUUAUGGUCCAAAUGAUUCGUCGCCGUAGGAUGGGACUGCGGCCUAUCAGCUUGUUGGUGAGGUAAUGGCCCACCAAGGCUAUUACAGGUACGGGCUCUGAGAGGAGAAGCCCGGAGAUGGGUACUGAGACACGGACCCAGGCCCUAUGGGGCGCAGCAGGCGAGAAAACUUUGCAAUGUGCGCAAGCACGACAAGGUUAAUCCGAGUGUUUCCUGCUAAAGGAAUCUUUUGCUAGUCCUAAAAACACUAGCGAAUAAGGGGUGGGCAAGUUCUGGUGUCAGCCGCCGCGGUAAAACCAGCACCUCAAGUGGUCAGGAGGAUUAUUGGGCCUAAAGCAUCCGUAGCCUGCUUUGUAAGUUUCCGGUUAAAUCCAUUAGCUCAACUGAUGGGCCGCCGGAAAAACUGCAAAGCUAGGGAGUGGGAGAGGUAGACGGUACUCGGUAGGAAGGGGUAAAAUCCUUUGAUCUAUUGAUGACCACCUGUGGCGAAGGCGGUCUACCAGAACACGUUCGACGGUGAGGGAUGAAAGCUGGGGGAGCAAACCGGAUUAGAUACCCGGGUAGUCCCAGCUGUAAACGAUGCAGACUCGGUGAUGCACUGGCUUGUGGCCAGUGCAGUGCCGCAGGGAAGCCGUUAAGUUUGCCGCCUGGGAAGUACGUACGCAAGUAUGAAACUUAAAGGAAUUGGCGGGGGAGCACCACAAGGGGUGAAGCCUGCGGUUC